AACGAACGCUGGCGGCAUGCCUAACACAUGCAAGUCGAACGAUACCUUCGGGUCUAGUGGCGCACGGGUGCGUAACGCGUGGGAACCUGCCCUUAGGUUCGGAAUAACUCCCCGAAAGGGGUGCUAAUACCGGAUAAUGUCUUCGGACCAAAGAUUUAUCGCCUUUGGAUGGGCCCGCGUUGGAUUAGCUAGUUGGUAGGGUAAAAGCCUACCAAGGCGACGAUCCAUAGCUGGUCUGAGAGGAUGAUCAGCCACACUGGGACUGGGACACGGCCCAGACUCCUACGGGAGGCAGCAGUGGGGAAUAUUGGACAGUGGGCGAAAGCCUGAUCCAGCAAUGCCGCGUGAGUGAUGAAGGCCUUAGGGAUGUAAAGCUCUUUUACCCGGGAUGAUAAUGACAGUACCGGGAGAAUAAGCUCCGGCUAACUCCGUG
This 433-nucleotide ribosomal RNA is filed under the name uncultured bacterium. Its description in RNAcentral is "partial 16S ribosomal RNA". It matches the Rfam family "Bacterial small subunit ribosomal RNA", at positions 29 to 507 of the family's 1533-position model. The record is from RNAcentral.